GCCUUCGUGGUGUAGUGGUCAGCACGCUCGGCCUGUGUUCAAGAGAUCCGUGGUUCGAGUCCCGGCGAGGGCA
This is a non-coding RNA of Stegodyphus mimosarum, 73 nucleotides long. NCBI's taxonomy places the organism in Eukaryota, Metazoa, Arthropoda, Arachnida, Araneae, Eresidae. The record is from Rfam.